Molecule: long non-coding RNA, 423 nt
Filed under: Monodelphis domestica (gray short-tailed opossum)
Lineage: Eukaryota; Metazoa; Chordata; Mammalia; Didelphimorphia; Didelphidae
Description: lncRNA (ENSMODG00000041209.1)
Source: RNAcentral
UGGUUUUUUCUUAUUUUCCUCUGCUUCAUGUUGGAGUAUCAUUAUGAAAUCAUUAUGAGCAUCAUUUCUUUCUUUCUUUCUUUCUUUCUUUCUUUCUUUCUUUCUUUCUUUCUUUCUUUCUUUCUUUCUUUCUUUCUUUCUUUCUUUCUUUCUUUCUUUCUUUCUUUCUUUCUUUCUUUCUUUCUUUCUUUCUUUCUUUCUUUCUUUCUUUCUUUCUUUCUUUCUCUUUCUUUCUUUCUUCCUUCCUUCCUUCCUUCCUUCCUUCCUUCCUUCCUUCCUUCCUUCCUUCCUUCCUUCCUUCCUUCCUUCCUUCCUUCCUUCCUUCCUUCCUUCCUUCCUUCCUUCUUUCCUUCCUUCCUUCCUUCCUUCCUUCCUUCCUUCCUUCCUUCCUUCCUUCCUUCCUUCCUUCUUUUUCUUUCUUUU